Molecule: long non-coding RNA, 1745 nt
Organism: Mesocricetus auratus (golden hamster)
Lineage: Eukaryota; Metazoa; Chordata; Mammalia; Rodentia; Cricetidae
Exons: 2
Source: RefSeq, a predicted model, not a curated record
GUUAAGCACGUUGGUCACGUGUUAGCCGCCACCCCGGGCUUCAGACGGUUCGCGCGCCCAUCGCUGCGGAGGCGCGGGCGGGACGAGUUGUCUGGCCAGCCGGUGACUCUGGUGGAGGCCUCUGAUGCUGUGCUGGGCGGCUGAGGAGGCAGGCGGUGGAGCUGCGGGAACGCGAGGCGUGUGCAGCGUGCUUCUCUCACACCCUCCGAUUUCCUCGUGGGGAGCCGCUGAGGUGAAGUCGACUUCCCCAAAGCUGCAGGACCAGUAGGGGCCCACGGGAGAUGAGGUCCCCGGAAGGGAUUCUUCAGCUGCGCGACGAACACCUGCGUCCUGGAUUAGGACUCGGGUUUCUGUGCUUCUUAGCUGAUUAUAGCACUCCCAAGCAGUGGAGGAGUGACGGGUGGUCGAAUUCUUCUGAUUAAAGUUUAAAGAGAAUGACCGGAGACACUAUGGUCAUUAGACCCAUCAUUAACACCUAGAAACUAUUUUUUAAAAAAUAAGCAUUUCUAGAGCAAUAGUUCCUAACUAAAAAGGGUUCCAAGGAGAAAUCAAGUCUCUUAUUUUCAGACUAUUUCAUCCGUCAGCCCUUUGGCAAGAACUGCCUAAGGAGACUAACUGCACAGUGAUAGAGUGCUAGCCUCGAAUAUGGGAAGCCCUAGAUCCAAUCCCAAAGCUACCAGGGGGGGGGGAGGGGGAGUGAUUGCACUUCAUACAUGGGUUCUGGAUUCAACUGACUGCAAAUUAAGUAUAUUCUGAAAGACUGUUGAACAUGUGCACUAUUUUACUUGUCUUUCCCUACAUGUUUCAACUAUGUCAUUAACAUAUUCGAUAAUACAAAUACUCCUCCAGAGAUAAUUUAAGUGUCUGAAACCAGUCAGGUCAUGGUGACUUCCAACUAAAGUCACAAUUACAGGAAGGCUUAGGCAAGAGGAUGAACCCGAGCCAGUCUGAGAAACACAAAAACCCUCUCUCAGUAAUACAUAACCAGAGGUGGGCAUGGUGGUGGUACACACUUACAAUCCCAGCACUUGAGGACUAAGAGGUAGGCAGGUCCUGCAUUCCAGGCUAGCUUGAUCUACAUAGUUACAGGUCAGCCAGAGCUAGACAGUAAGACUCUGUCUCAAAAACAGCAACAAAAUUAUUAAAAAGGACUGGGGGUAGCUCAGAAGUAAAGCACUUGCCUAGCACCUGUGAGGCCCUAGGUUCAAGCCCCAGUACUAUCAAACAAAGCCAUAAAUAACUUGGAGGUGGUAGCCCACACCUGUGAUUCUACUACUCAGUAUUGAUGAACAAAGGGCUAUCUAAAAGCCAAAUUCAUGCGAGUCAGAUGUCAGUGUGAACCCUGCCUGAAUUCUGGGUUACAGGCGUUCUUAAGUAGUUUUAGCAAACACUGAAACCCAGCUGUUGAUAAUCUGGAAACUGGGACAGGAUUGCAAGUUUAAGCCUAUGUUGAACUAUCAAGUGAGAUCCUUUUCUUCAACAGAUAAACCUGUAAGCAAAAUCCUGUGUGAAUACUGUACCACUUCAUAGAAGAGCCUUAAGCAGGCUAGAGAGAUAGUUCAGUGUUUGAAAUGCUUGUUCUUUCAGGGGACCUGGGUUCAGUUAUUGCUUAACUGAAGCUCAUCAACCCCGGAUAUGGUUUCUGUGCUUAAAAGCUCACCCUGAGCAAGGCUUGGAGCUACCUGGGAUUCUGAACAUGUGGUGUAGUCAAGGGUUAGCUAAUAAACACUUUCUAUUGGCUUAAA